Molecule: long non-coding RNA, 703 nt
Organism: Oryzias melastigma (Indian medaka)
Lineage: Eukaryota; Metazoa; Chordata; Actinopteri; Beloniformes; Adrianichthyidae
Exons: 3
Source: RefSeq, a predicted model, not a curated record
AUGAGCAGUGGUUGAAGAUUAUUUUAGCAUCACUACAAUUUAUGUCAUUAACUUUUAGCUUAAUAAUUAUGUUAAUUUGUCCUUGAUGUUUAAAGAAAUAUGAAGGAGAGCUCAUUAAAGGUAAUUGGGUCCAGGUGAGACCGCGAGUCAGUCUUACUGGAUGCAGUUCUGAGGUGGAGUUCAGGAUGAGGUGGAGCUGCUUCAGAUUGGAGCCAAGCCUUCUGAGUUCUGCGUUGUAGGCGCAGCCGUGGUGUCUGAGGCCGUCCACCAGGGAGAUGUAGCGUCUCAUUUUGUACAUCACACAACCGUUCUGUCGUGACAAGCAAAUAGAAGGUGUGAUAUGAGACGCUCCAUCACUCACAGCAUCUAAAGGACGUUCACACCUGCCAAACACCAAAUCAGAGAUUGGCCCGCUUUCCAGCACCGCUCCCUUCCUAACAUGGUGUGUGAACAUGAGGAGGAUGGAUGCCCACACAGGGUGCGGCGUGGCAUGAUGGAGCGCCGUCGUCGCCGCCGCCUCACAGAGGACAAAUAAUGUGCUGUGUGCACUGUAAGCAGAUCUUUCAUCCCCCCAGUCCUCCUCUCAGCUAUUCUCCUCUCGACCUUGUCCCACUCAAUUAACAGAGGAGGCAGGUGACUGUGCACUUCACAAAAUCAAUGGAAGUGAUUUACUCUUUAUAGUAAAAGCUGCACCAACUCAUGA